GAUGAACGCUGGCGGCGUGCCUAAUACAUGCAAGUCGAGCGAACAGACGAGGAGCUUGCUCCUCUGACGUUAGCGGCGGACGGGUGAGUAACACGUGGAUAACCUACCUAUAAGACUGGGAUAACUUCGGGAAACCGGAGCUAAUACCGGAUAAUAUAUUGAACCGCAUGGUUCAAUAGUGAAAGACGGUUUUGCUGUCACUUAUAGAUGGAUCCGCGCCGCAUUAGCUAGUUGGUAAGGUAACGGCUUACCAAGGCAACGAUGCGUAGCCGACCUGAGAGGUUGAUCGGCCACCCUGGAACUGAGACACGUUCCAGACUCCUACGGGAGGCCGCAUUAGGGAAUCUUCCGCGAUGGGCGAAAGCCUGAUGGAGCAACGCCGCGUGAGUGAUGAAGUUCCUCGGAUCGUAAAACUCUGUUAUUAGGGAAGAACAAAUGUGUAAGUAACUAUGCACGUCUUGACGGUACCUUAUCAGAAAGCCACGGCUAUCUAUUUG
Molecule: ribosomal RNA, 497 nt
Filed under: uncultured bacterium
Lineage: Bacteria
Description: partial 16S ribosomal RNA
Rfam family: Bacterial small subunit ribosomal RNA
Source: RNAcentral